RNA transcript from Prosopis cineraria, 2539 nucleotides. It is a transcript of the gene named hydroxyproline O-galactosyltransferase GALT3, with no coding region annotated. The record is from RefSeq and is a predicted model, not a curated record. NCBI's taxonomy places the organism in Eukaryota, Viridiplantae, Streptophyta, Magnoliopsida, Fabales, Fabaceae. The transcript has 8 exons.
GUUUUUGGCCCAAAAAUCAAAAAGCUUAAAUUCAUUUAAAUAAAAGAAAUGGUGAUGGUGUCACUGUUCUUCAAAGCUUCAACACUCUGAAGCUCCCCGGUGGGAGCAUCUCGCAGCUUAGUGAAACGGCUACAUUUAGUUCAAGGUCUGCUGAAAAUGAAAAAGUGGUAUGGGGGCUUGUUGAUCAUUGCUCUGGCCAUGAUGUUGAUUCUCCUGUACAGUCUGUUUGGAAUGCAGCCACAGAAGUCAGUAAAACAGUCAGCUUACAGUUUCUUUAAUAAUCAUAACCCAACUGAUUCUACUGUAAGAAACAAUAUUACUAUAAGUUCUUCAAAUGUAGAAGUAAAAGGAGUACCAAAACCAACAAAAAGGCCACAUUAUAUAGAUGUUAAAGGGCUUGAUGAUCUUUGUAACAUGAAAAACUUUUCGGAAGGAGAGUUGAAAGCAAUGCUUGUGUGGACUCCCUUGUGUUCCCUGCUGUCAAGGUCAGAUGCUUUACCAGAAACAGCUCAAGGAGUUAAAGAGGCUUCUGUAGCAUGGAAAGAGUUGUUGUCCACAAUGGAGAAGCAGAAAGCCUCUAGGAUUAACAAGGUAGAUGGCCCUGAAAAUCAGAACUGCCCAUUUUCUGUAACCGCACUUGGUAAAACUUUGGCAAGCAAUGGAAUCAUUAUUGAGCUUCCUUGUGGUCUAGUUGUAGAUUCAUCUGUUACACUAAUUGGCAUUCCUAUUGGGCAAAAUGGAAGCUUCCAGAUUGACCUUGUGGGCCAACAAAUAGAAAAAGAGCCAAAUCCUCCUAUAAUUUUGCAUUACAAUGUGAGUCUGCCUGGAGAAAAUUUAACUGAGGAUCCAUUUAUAGUUCAAAAUACUUGGACUAAUGAACAUGGGUGGGGAAAAGAGGAAAAGUGUCCAGCUCAUGGUUCUGCUAACAUACAAGAAGUUGAUGGACUUGUGUUCUGCAAUGUACAAGUUGCCAGGAGCAGCAAUGAAGAGAAUCAAAGUGUGGGUAAACCUGCUACUGAUAGAACUGCUAACAUUUCAGGGGAAAGUGCACAUAGAACUGCUAAUUUCCCUUUCACUGAGGGAAAUCCGUUCACUGCCACAUUGUGGGUGGGUUCAGAGGGAUUUCAUAUGACUGUGAAUGGAAGGCAUGAAACAUCUUUUGCAUUUAGGGAGAAACUUGAGCCUUGGUUAGUUAACAGCGUCAAAGUGGCUGGCAAUCUAAGUCUCUUAUCUGCACUGGCGAAAGGCUUACCUACUACUGAAGAUAAUGAUAUUGUCAUUGAUCUUGAGAAACUUAAAGCUCCUUCGAUCCCUGAAAAAAGGCUUGUUUUGUUAAUUGGGGUAUUCUCGACAGGAAAUAACUUUGAAAGACGAAUGGCCCUCAGGAGGUCUUGGAUGCAAUAUGAGGCUGUACGUUCUGGAGAAGUAGCUGUCCGAUUUUUCAUAGGGCUUCACAAGAACAAUAUUGUUAAUGUUGAGCUGUGGAGAGAAGCUCAAGCUUUUGGAGAUAUCCAGUUUAUGCCUUUUGUUGAUUAUUAUGGUUUGAUCACCUUCAAAACUAUUGCAAUAUGCAUUUUAGGGACGAAAAUCAUACCUGCUAAGUACAUUAUGAAGACGGAUGAUGAUGCUUUUGUUAGGAUUGAUGAAGUGAUUUCUAACCUUAAAAGAAAGCCAUCAGAGGGCCUCUUGUUUGGUCUUAUAUCUUUCAAAUCAUCACCUCACAGGGAUAAAGAUGGUAAAUGGUACAUCAGCAAGGAGGAAUGGCCACAUGAUUCGUACCCUCCAUGGGCGCACGGUCCUGGUUACGUUAUCUCUCGAGACAUAGCAAAAUUCAUUGUCCAUGGCCAUGAACAAAGAACUCUGAAGGUGAGAAUUUCUUCUUUCAAUUCACAUUUCACUAUUUGUGACAAGUGCAAAACUUCACCUAGUUUCUGAAAAGUAUUGUGGAUUUUUCCUUCAAAAUUGUCUUCUCAAAAAGCCUGUUAACUAAUAUGGCCUAGCUUAAUGUGAAGCUAUGCGGCAAUAAAGUUACCAACUGUCACUGUAACAUGCCGUUAUAGAACAUAUUCCUCAAAGCAGUCACAACACCAUAGUCUCUUGGUCGUGUUUAAUGGUAUGUUUCAAUAACAUUUAGGCACUUAAUGCCCACAUGGAUCACCUGUCUCUUUAACUUUCUCUCUCUUAAUGUGAGAACCAUGUCAAAGGCAGAAUAGGUGCAAAACUGCUCACUCCCGGAUCGGACCUCAGGUUCAAAAAUUGUGUUCAAGGUCUUUCUGGGUCAGGCUUUAGAUUCAGUCAGCCCUCCCCGGUUCAGUUCAUAUGCACCCAUAAAUAGAAGUGCUGGAAUAAGAUGUUCAAACUUGGGGGAAUCAAUUUAGACAUGAUGUAUCUUUCGAUGCUCUUCAAACUGGAAGAUGUUGCCAUGGGGAUAUGGAUUGAAGAGUUCAAGAAGAGUGGUAGAGAAGUCCAUUACGAAAGUGACGAAAGAUUUCACAAUGUUGGAUGUGAAUCAGAUUAUAUACUUGCCCAUUAUCAAAAU